UGUCUAGUUGACGAGGUCUUCACAGGGGAUCUGUUUCCAGGGUUUGUCUAGUUGAUGAGAUCUUCACUGAUAUUCAGGGCUGUAGAGGUCGUCUCGAAGGGCCACGUUCCUUUCCUUUCAGACUGCAGUGAGGACAGUGUCACUCUGACUGAUGGCGGGAGCUCUGAGACGGGCUGUGUUGGAGGUAGUGGAGCGUGUAUUGAACGCUAACUCACUCUCCACGAUUUCCUCUUUCUUCACAUCCCUGUACAGUUCUCCUGGGCCAGCCUGUCUCCUUUAGUGUGACCUUGUGACCAGCGCUGUGGUGGGCUCACUGUGACACUUCCAUGCUGCUGGGUGUCAACAGUGAUGAUGGUUGGCCUUCAGUCCCAGAUGGCUCCCAUAUGGUUGAACACACCUUCAGUGUCUGUGAUUGAUCCCUUCCCCGCUAAACACCCUCGCGAGACCAGCGAAGUGCUGCAUGGGGAAGAAAUUGUGCAAAAGAAGCAGAUACCACAUUAUGAGCUGCAAAAUAUAUGUCGUGGCAUGGGCAGCAGGAAAUAGGGGGUUCUGCACAGUUUGGGGGAGUAACUU
Molecule: long non-coding RNA, 573 nt
Organism: Cyprinus carpio carpio
Lineage: Eukaryota; Metazoa; Chordata; Actinopteri; Cypriniformes; Cyprinidae
Source: Ensembl